CUGCAAGUAGGUCAUCUCUGGGACUGGAUAACUACAGCUCACAACCAAUGCUCCUGCUGUGUAACUGGUGGUAGUUCAGAACAGGAAAUUCACAACUGCAAGCCCAAAUUAUGAAUGAUAUAAACAAGUAAUACCUAUUUCAAAGAACACUGAUAGAAAGAUUUCACCUCAGGACAUCUGGGUACAGACGAGAGAUUAAUAUAAACUUAAUUCUUGGACUUCAACACACUCCAUGCAGCAUAGUCCUUCUUCAGGUGAGCUAGUCAAUUCCCCACUUUUAUGUAAUCUAACUAUAAUAAAUUAUAACAUAAAAAAAGAAAAUGUUAAAUUAGCACAAACAUAAAACAGAUGAGAGAAUUCCACCAACUAGACAGACUUACAAAAAUUAAAUUUCCUAGCAAGUCAACUACAAUUAUUUCACAAUAAACAUGACUUUCACAAAAUAUGUAUGUGAUAUAUGGGACUGGUAGAAAGUUUAAUAUAAAUAAUGUUCCACCUGCCACUCACUUUACAGCAGUUAAUACAUCUCAGCCAAGGGUGUCAUGUUUAGUUUUUCAGGGCAGUGUUCUGCAGUGAAAGAAUCUUCAAAAUACAUUAUAACCAUUCUAUACAAUACCUAUGCACUUAAAAUAUGGAUUAAAGAAAGUAAAUAGUUGUUUUAAAAUCAAAGUUAUGUAUUUUUCAUCACCAAACAGUCAAUAUGUGAAAGUGAUAAAAUGGCAUAGUUACUUACCACAUAAAUUCUCUGGUAUUCAUAAAAUACAGUAAACAUGUUAUUGUAUGGUGAUGAUUUAUCACAUGAAACUGAAUUAACAUUCAAAACUUUUAACUGGCUAUCUAAUUUCAAUUUUAUUAUUCCAUGUCUUUCAAGUGGUGAAUUUACAUGAAACUCCACACAAAUUUGGAAAAUAUUUUUGUUUCCAUUAUAUGUACUAAAAGCCUUACCCAUUAGAUUCCUUGCUUAUACAAGACUGACAAGGCAGGACAAGGAAAGAAACUGGGAUGGUAUGCCAU
Non-coding RNA from Zootermopsis nevadensis, 1014 nucleotides. Lineage: Eukaryota; Metazoa; Arthropoda; Insecta; Blattodea; Termopsidae. The record is from RefSeq and is a predicted model, not a curated record.